CGGAACAGGUGGUCGUUGCUAUGGCAACCAUGGGACCGCAGGAGAAUACCCCGCACAUUGUCUCCUCGGUGGCGGGCUGUGACAUAGAGAUGCCGCACACAACUACAGAGAGCUCACCUACAUAAAAAGUAGGCGGACAGAUAUUUUGUUAUUAGUUUCUUGCAGCACUGAACAGAGGCGAGCCUGCACUACACUGUCCUGAGCCGUCUACAGUUGACUCCAGUUGAUGUUCAGGUUUUUUUUUUUUUUUUUUUACAGUUUGUGUUUAAUGAGAAAUGAUUCAUAAUUGAUCAGGAUGUAUGGAGGAGGUGUUAGCAGCUGGACAUAGGUGUCAUGUUUUUAAUCAGUACGUCAGACGUCUGGCAGUUUGGACUUGGAUCAAUACAGACAACGUAUUCAUAAUGUGAUGACAGCUGCACACUGUUAUAUAAACUAUGAACAGCAUCUUUAUGUCUCUGUUUGUUGGAGAAAUCAUCAUUUUUAUGUUGAAGUAAAAUAAACAUUGUGUCGACCAGAAUAA
Long non-coding RNA from Seriola aureovittata, 520 nucleotides. RefSeq lists it as uncharacterized. The record is from RefSeq and is a predicted model, not a curated record. Lineage: Eukaryota; Metazoa; Chordata; Actinopteri; Carangiformes; Carangidae. The transcript is spliced from 2 exons.